Molecule: ribosomal RNA, 508 nt
Filed under: uncultured bacterium
Lineage: Bacteria
Description: bacterial SSU rRNA
Rfam family: Bacterial small subunit ribosomal RNA
Source: RNAcentral
GACGAACGCUGGCGGCGUGGAUUAGGCAUGCAAGUCGAACGGUAUGGACCUUUCGGGGUUCAGAGAGUGGCGAACGGGUGAGUAACACGUAGGUUAUCUACCCUCAAGACGGGGACAACCCAGGGAAACUUGGGCUAAUACCGGAUGUGAGCAACUUUUAGUUGUUUGAAAGGUGGCGUAAGCUGUCGCUUGGGGAUGAGCCUGCGUCCUAUUAGUUAGUUGGUGAGGUAACGGCUCACCUAGGCAAUGAUAGGUAGGCGGCCUUAACGGGUGGUCGCCCACACUGGGAUUGAGAUACGGCCCAGACUCCUACGGGAGGCAGCAGUCGAGAAUAGUCUACAAUGGUCGGAAGACUGAUAGUGCGACGCCGCGUGAACGAUGAAUCCCUUCGGGUGUAAAGUUCUUUUAUAUGUGAGCAGUGCUUCUUAUAUUAACAGUAUGGGGAGAGAGAUAUUAGCAUAUGAAUAAGCAACGGCUAACUCCGUGCCAGCAGCCGCGGUAAAAGUGU